GACGAACGCUGGCGGCGUGCUUAACACAUGCAAGUCGAACGGAAAGGCCCUGCUUUUGUGGGGUGCUCGAGUGGCGAACGGGUGAGUAACACGUGAGUAACCUGCCCUUGACUUUGGGAUAACUUCAGGAAACUGGGGCUAAUACCGGAUAUGCGCUCCUGCUGCAUGGUGGGGGUUGGAAAGUUUCGGCGGUUGGGGAUGGACUCGCGGCUUAUCAGCUUGUUGGUGGGGUAGUGGCUUACCAAGGCUUUGACGGGUAGCCGGCCUGAGAGGGUGACCGGCCACAUUGGGACUGGGAUACGGCGCAGACUACGACGGGAGGCAGUAGUGGGGAAUGUUGCACAAUGGGCGGAAGCCUGAUGCAGCAACGCUGCGUGCGGGAUGACGGCCUUCGGGUUGUAAACCGCUUUCGCCUGUGACGAAGCGUGAGUGACGGUAAUGGGUAAAGAAGCACCGGCUAACUACGUG
Molecule: ribosomal RNA, 468 nt
Filed under: uncultured bacterium
Lineage: Bacteria
Description: partial 16S ribosomal RNA
Rfam family: Bacterial small subunit ribosomal RNA
Source: RNAcentral